GACGUAGGGUCCAAGCGUUGUCCGGAUUUACUGGGCGUAAAGAGCGCGUAGGCGGCUCGUUAAGUGUGAAGUGAAAUCUCCCGGCUCAACUGGGAAACUGCAUCGGAAACUGAUCGGCUUGAAGAUGGGAGAGGGUAGUGGAAUUCCCGGUGUAGUGGUGAAAUGCGUAGAUAUCGGGAGGAACACCAGUGGCGAAGGCGACUACCUGGCCCAUUCUUGACGCUGAGGCGCGAAAGCUAGGGGAGCGAACGGG
RNAcentral lists this ribosomal RNA (253 nucleotides) under uncultured bacterium. RNAcentral describes it as "partial 16S ribosomal RNA". It matches the Rfam family "Bacterial small subunit ribosomal RNA", at positions 524 to 776 of the family's 1533-position model. The record is from RNAcentral.